GAUGAACGCUAGCUACAGGCUUAACACAUGCAAGUCGAAGGGAAACGGCAUUGAGUGCUUGCACUCUUUGGACGUCGACCGGCGCACGGGUGAGUAACGCGUAUCCAACCUUCCCAUUACUGUGGGAUAACCUGCCGAAAGGCAGACUAAUACCGCAUAGUCUUCGAUGACGGCAUCAGAUUUGAAGUAAAGAUUUAUCGGUAAUGGAUGGGGAUGCGUCUGAUUAGCUUGUUGGUGGGGUAACGGCCCACCAAGGCAACGAUCAGUAGGGGUUCUGAGAGGAAGGUCCCCCACAUUGGAACUGAGACACGGUCCAAACUCCUACGGGAGGCAGCAGUGAGGAAUAUUGGUCAAUGGACGGAAGUCUGAACCAGCCAAGUAGCGUGCAGGAUGACGGCCCUAUGGGUUGUAAACUGCUUUUGUAUGGGGAUAAAGUUAGGGACGUGUCCCUAUUUGCAGGUACCAUACGAAUAAGGACCGGCUAAUUCCGUGCCAGCAGCCGCGGUAAUACGGAAGGUCCAGGCGUUAUCCGGAUUUAUUGGGUUUAAAGGGAGCGUAGGCUGGAGAUUAAGUGUGUUGUGAAAUGUAGACGCUCAACGUCUGAAUUGCAGCGCAUACUGGUUUCCUUGAGUACGCACAACGUUGGCGGAAUUCGUCGUGUAGCGGUGAAAUGCUUAGAUAUGACGAAGAACUCCGAUUGCGAAGGCAGCUGACGGGAGCGCAACUGACGCUUAAGCUCGAAGGUGCGGGUAUCAAACAGG
RNAcentral lists this ribosomal RNA (761 nucleotides) under Prevotella melaninogenica. RNAcentral's name for it is "bacterial SSU rRNA". It matches the Rfam family "Bacterial small subunit ribosomal RNA", at positions 28 to 776 of the family's 1533-position model. Lineage: Bacteria; Pseudomonadati; Bacteroidota; Bacteroidia; Bacteroidales; Prevotellaceae. The record is from RNAcentral.